Molecule: ribosomal RNA, 1981 nt
Filed under: human metagenome
Description: bacterial LSU rRNA
Rfam family: Bacterial large subunit ribosomal RNA
Source: RNAcentral
UCAAGUUAUGAAGGGCGCAGGGUGGAUGCCAUGGCACUGGACGCCGAAGAAAGACGUGGUAAGCUGCGAAAAGCCACGGGGAGCCGCAAGCAGGCUUUGAUCCGUGGAUUUCUGAAUGGGGAAACCCGGCGGAAGUAAUGUUCCGUCAUCCGUGAAUGAAUCCAUAGUUCACGAGAAGGGCACCCGGGGAACUGAAACAUCUAAGUACCCGGAGGAAAAGAAAGAAACAUCGAUUUCGUGAGUAGCGGCGAGCGAAAGCGAAGGAGCCCAAACCAUCCGACCACGGUUGGAUGGGGUUGUGGGUCAGCAGAACGUACGAGGAAAUCUAGGAGAAGAGUUCUGGAAAGGACUUCCAAAGAGGGUAAGAGGCCCGUAUCCGAAAGGUUGAAUCGGCAAGCUGAUACCAGAGUACCACAGGACACGAGGAAUCCGGUGGGAAGCAGGAGGGACCACCCUCCAAGGCUAAAUACGAUCCAGUGACCGAUAGCGCAUAGUACCGUGAGGGAAAGGUGAAAAGAACCCCGGGAGGGGAGUGAAAAAGAACCUGAAACCCUGUGCUUACAAGCAGAGAGAGCACGAUUAAGUGUGAUCUCGUACUUUUUGUAGAACGGACCGGCGAGUUACGUUAUGCAGCGAGGUUAAGAACUGAAGGUUUGGAGCCGAAGCGAAAGCGAGUCUGAAUAGGGCGAAAAGUUGCAUGACGUAGACCCGAAACCGGGUGACCUAUCCAUGGGCAGGUUGAAGUGGAAGUAAAAUUUCAUGGAGGACCGAACCAGACGUCUGUUGAAAAAGGCGGGGAUGACCUGUGGAUAGCGGAGAAAUUCCAAUCGAACCCGGAGAUAGCUGGUUCUCCUCGAAAUAGCUUUAGGGCUAGCCUCGCAUUAGUUUACCGGAGGUAGAGCACUGAAUGGUCUAGGGGGCCUCACCGCCUACCGAAACCUAUCAAACUGCGAAUGCCGGAUAAAUGAUGUGCGGGAGUCAGGCCGCGAGAGAUAAGUUCCGCGGUCAAAAGGGGAACACCCCAGAUCGUCUGCUAAGGUCCCCAAGUACGCGUUAAGUGGGAAAGGAUGUUGGAUUGCACAGACAACCAGGAUGUUGGCUUAGAAGCAGCCACACAUUCAAAGAGUGCGUAAUAGCUCACUGGUCGAGUGAUCCAGCGCCGAAAAUGUAACGGGGCUAAAACGCGACACCGAAGCAGCGGGAUGCGUAAGCAUCGGUAGAGGAGCAUUGUGUGAGGAUAGAAGCCAGAGCGGGAGCACUGGUGGACUUCACAGAAGAGAGAAUGCCGGUAUGAGUAGCGAGACCCAUGUGAGAAACAUGGGCGUCGAAGGCCCAAGGUUUCCUGGGGAAGGUUCAUCCACCCAGGGUAAGUCGGGACCUAAGCCGAGGACUGAGGUCGUAGGCGAUGGACAGCAGGUAGAGAUUCCUGCACCACUUACACUUGUUUGACGAAGCAGUGACACAGAAGGAUAGGACGAGCGCGGUGAUGGUCAGCCGCGUAGGCGGCACGAGGCUGGGGAGCAGUAAAGUACACUUCCCGGGAAGGCUGAGUGUUGACAGGACCGAAAAAGAGUAGGGAAGCGUCUGAGUUCACGCUGGCGAGAAAAGCUGCUAAGGAGAGUGUGAGUGCCCGUACCGGAAACCGACGCAGGUGGGCGAGGAGAGAAUCCUGAGACGGACGGGAGAACUCUUGUUAAGGAACUCGGCAAAAUGACCCCGUAACUUCGGGAGAAGGGGUGCCUCGAAAGAGGCCGCAGAGAAUAGUCACAAGCGACUGUUUAGCAAAAACACAGGUAUCUGCGAAAGCGAGAGCUGACGUAUAGGUGCUGACGCCUGCCCGGUGCUGGAAGGUUAAGGGGAAGUGUUAGGGGGAACCCGAAGCAGAGAACCGAAGCCCCAGUAAACGGCGGCCGUAACUAUAACGGUCCUAAGGUAGCGAAAUUCCUUGUCGGGUAAGUUCCGACCCGCACGAAUGGUGUAA